This 439-nucleotide ribosomal RNA is filed under the name uncultured bacterium. Its description in RNAcentral is "partial 16S ribosomal RNA". It matches the Rfam family "Bacterial small subunit ribosomal RNA", at positions 339 to 795 of the family's 1533-position model. The record is from RNAcentral.
CUACGGGAGGCUCCAGUGAGGAAUAUUGCACAAUGGGGGGAACCCUGAUGCAGCAACGCCGCGUGGAGGAUGACGCAUUUCGGUGUGUAAACUCCUUUUAUAUGUCAAGAAAAUGACGGUAGCAUAUGAAUAAGCACCGGCUAACUCCGUGCCAGCAGCCGCGGUAAUACGGAGGGUGCAAGCGUUACUCGGAAUCACUGGGCGUAAAGGACGCGUAGGCGGGCUUGUAAGUCAGGUGUGAAAUCCUACAGCUUAACUGUAGUACUGCACUUGAAACUACGAGCCUAGAGUAUGGGAGGGGGAGAUGGAAUUAGUGGUGUAGGGGUAAAAUCCGUAGAUAUCACUAGGAAUACCUAAAGCGAAGGCGAUCUCCUGGAACAUAACUGACGCUAAGGCGUGAAAGCGUGGGGAGCAAACAGGAUUAGAUACCCCAGUAGUC